GAAAUAUAUAAAUUAAGCUUCUAACUUAAAAAUUAGCAAUAUAAUUGUUAAUAUUUCU
RNAcentral lists this transfer RNA (58 nucleotides) under Coelophora saucia. Its description in RNAcentral is "tRNA-Ser". The record is from RNAcentral. Lineage: Eukaryota; Metazoa; Arthropoda; Insecta; Coleoptera; Coccinellidae.